GGGUACCGUACGGAGUAUUUGAAACACGGGAAAGAAGUACCACUCGGGUAAUAUUUCCAGAGGAGUUGCAAACGGAUCUGCCGGUUCACCAAUCAUUGAUGGCUCGAGAACCGCUAAACCUACAUUACAUGCAAUAGUACCUAGAAUUACUACUGGAAAAAUAUAUAAAAGAUCGUUGGGCCAUGCGGGUUCCCCGUAAUAAUUAUGUCCCAUCCCUUUAGCUAAUUUAGCUCUUAAUACAGGAUCAUUUAAGUCUGGUUUCUUUGUUAUUGGGAUAGGUGAACUCUUUAGGAUCCAUCCCCCAAAGGAACCGGACAUGAGAAUUUAUCAUCAUCCGGCUCGAGCAAGAGUGAAAGAAAUAAGACCGCGGAAGAUCCUUAAUAGAAUUAAGGUAUAUAAUGACUCAAUGACUCUAGGCAAGAAAAGCUUUAUCAGAUUCUCUUUUCCGAAGUUGCACCUACAACUACUCAUUGAAAAUAAUCCUAUUCUUAUGGGUAAAUGCCCAAUAACUUAUUGGGUACCGUACGGAGUAUUUGAAACACGGGAAAGAAGUACCACUCGGGUAAUAUUUCCAGAGGAGUUGCAAACGGAUCUGCCGGUUCACCAAUCAUUGAUGGCUCGAGAACCGCUAAACCUACAUUACAUGCAAUAGUACCUAGAAUUACUACUGGAAAAAUAUAUAAAAGAUCGUUGGGCCAUGCGGGUUCCCCGUAAUAAUUAUGUCCCAUCCCUUUAGCUAAUUUAGCUCUUAAUACAGGAUCAUUUAAGUCUGGUUUCUUUGUUACUCCCAUAAUCCGCCUUUUUUCUUUCGUAAAAUUAACUUCAACUAUUUGUAUUGUAUAAAAAUACUUUGGAGUUGAAGAGAAGUAUCCAAAUGACAUGUGUUAUUUUACAAUAACCCAUGCUUGUAGCAAUGAAAUACCAAAACC
This 929-nucleotide ribosomal RNA is filed under the name Triticum aestivum (bread wheat). Its description in RNAcentral is "partial small subunit ribosomal RNA". Lineage: Eukaryota; Viridiplantae; Streptophyta; Magnoliopsida; Poales; Poaceae. The record is from RNAcentral.